UACCUUCUAAACAGAAUAUCUAAGACUUGGUCAGCUGUGGUAAAAGCCCGGUAAGUAGCCAGGAACACAUUGAGGUGCAUGGAGUUGGUGUCCUGGUCCUCCACAUCCUCAGGUGCCAGGUUCUCCACCAGUCUCUCCACAGUUCCCGCCUUCAGCGUGCGAAGCUUCAUCGUUUCCCACUGUAGAGAAGUGGUUGUGGUCUGAUGUCGAACCUUCUUCAGACUGACUGUGUAGAUGACUCCAUCCUCCUUCUCCUCUCCCCACUCUCGACUGUUCUCACCCUG
Branchiostoma belcheri (Belcher's lancelet) is the source of this 284-nucleotide long non-coding RNA. RefSeq lists it as uncharacterized. The record is from RefSeq and is a predicted model, not a curated record. Lineage: Eukaryota; Metazoa; Chordata; Leptocardii; Amphioxiformes; Branchiostomatidae. The transcript is spliced from 3 exons.